Molecule: ribosomal RNA, 255 nt
Filed under: uncultured bacterium
Lineage: Bacteria
Description: partial 16S ribosomal RNA
Rfam family: Bacterial small subunit ribosomal RNA
Source: RNAcentral
UACGUAGGCAGCAAGCGUUGUUCGGAGUUACUGGGCGUAAAGGGUGUGUAGGCGGUUCUUUUAAGUUUGGUGUGAAAUCUCCCGGCUCAACUGGGAGGGUGCGCCGAAUACUGAGGGACUAGAGUACGGGAGAGGAAAGUGGAAUUCCUGGUGUAGCGGUGAAAUGCGUAGAUAUCAGGAGGAACACCGGUGGUGUAGACGGCUUUCUGGACCGUAACUGACGCUGAGACACGAAAAGCGUGGGUAGCAAACAGG